Molecule: long non-coding RNA, 2376 nt
Organism: Amphiprion ocellaris (clown anemonefish)
Lineage: Eukaryota; Metazoa; Chordata; Actinopteri; Pomacentridae
Source: Ensembl
GUUCGUAGUGAAACUUUAUUGAUAUUAGAGUUUUAUUCAGAUAACAGAGUUUAACUUUAACUCGUACAAAAAUACAAAUUUAAGAAAAACAAAGCAGAGCCGCACGACAGACGGAUGCUUUAAUCCUGCUUGCAGGUACAGGAGAGUCUUUACAGGCAAGUCAGUCCAGGUGAGUCAGUCCAAAUGAGUCUUUACAGGUGAGUCCAGAUGAGUCAGUCCAGGUGAGUCAGUACAGGUGAGUCAGUACAAAUGAGUCUUUAUAGGUGAGUCCAGAUGAGUCAUUCCAAGUGAGUCUUUACAGGUGAGUCCAGGUGAGUCUUUACAGGUGAGUCGCUCCAGGUGAGUUAAGGUGAGUCAGUCCUGAUGAGUCUUUACAGGUGAGUCCAGGUGAGUCAGUCCAGGUGAGUUUUCUUCACCAACUCGAGGAGUUUUCACAGUUCAACACAAAGAAACUUUCCUGUCAUAGUUUAUUAUUUCCUGAAAACGGAAACAGCUGAAAUAUUUCAUCGUGACGCCGAUGAACGAAAACCUUCAAGUACAAAAAUAAAGCUUCUGUCAGUUUCAGAUUUUCAGAGUAAAGCUGCAACAUUUGGAACAGAAAGUUUCGUUCUUCUAUUAAAGGAGGAGUUUUAUGUUUCUGUAGUCUUUCGAGUUUUCAGAGUUUUUCAAAGUAAAACAUUUCAACAGGAUAAAAUAACGCUUUAAAAAACUAACUUUUCUUUCAGUUUGGUUCUUAUUUCGUCUGAGCAGCAUCAAUGAAGUUUACUGAACCGUCGAAAACGUUUUAAAUUAGCUCUUAAAAAUAUGAAACUAAAUCGGUUCUGAAAGAUAAAUUCAGGUGACAGAAUCUUCAUUUGGCCAGAAAUAAAAAUUAUUUUGACUCAAAACAUUCAGAGGAAGUGAAACGGGUUAGAGUCUGUUUUCUAGCUGGACAGGUGAGUUGCUGCCUGAAACACAAACAACUGUUCUUCUAACAUUUUGUUCGUGGUUUAAAUAAAGUCGGAUUUCACAAUAAAAUCCCAACAAUAAAGCAAACCUAAAGUUUUGAUAUUUCUCAGCUUCAAACUAGUCGACAUGAUUGAUCAGAAACUUUAUUAGAAUGAAGCUGCAACAUUAUUAUUAUUGAUUAUUCUAUCGGCUGUUUUCUGCCUGUAAACUGCAUCAGAAAAAUGACAUUGAUUAAUUAAACAGCUGCUGAUUGUUAUUCUGGUGAUCAAUAAAUCGAUUGAUCGCGGCCAAACAUAUUUAAAUUACAGUUUGGAAACAACCAAAAUUAUUCAGAAUAUUUUAUCAACUUUUUUCCCUCCGGUCGCCUCAGAAGGCGGUUACCCUGGCGACAGGGUACCUGCCAUUGCCAUAGCAACAGCCUCAGUCUAUUUUACAGUAUUGAUCUGUUAUCAGUUCCGUAUCGGGAUUUUUUCUGUUUCAACUUUAUUCUGAAACGAUCCUGAAACAACGACUAAAGCAAACAAACGACGGAGCUCAGACUGAAAGGAUGACGGCGCUGACAAAAUAAAUAAGGUGACACGAUCUCUGCUCGACUGUAAACAUCAGUGAUCCGCUUCUCUUCCUGAUGACCAAUCAGAAAAUGUUCGCUGCCCACAGACCGCCAAUGAGGUCCUGAAGCUGCGGUGACAUCAUGCGUGACAUCAGCAGGGCGGGUUCCCCCUCAACCCCAGAGGAACCAGCCUCGGCAUCGGCCUCCAGGCCAUGCCCCCCUCCCUCCUCUCUGCUGAUGCCCCUCCUGCUGCGCUGUCACUGCUGGUGGGUGGGGCAACCUUGGCCCCUCCCACCUUCAUCUGCAGCAGAGGGGGCGGAGUCAGCACAGCUCCUUUAGUGUUUCCUGGUCCCUCCUGCACGCCAGUCGCCUCUGCAUAGCCAUUAAGCCCCACCCCCUCUGUCUCUAUGGCAACGGUGCUGGUAGAGUCCGAGUCUGGCUGUGGGAGUCUGUGGACGUGGUCUCGCUCCUUGGCUUCGCCCACCUCAGAGGUUGGUUUCCCUGGUGAUGGGACCCCUGCUGCCGUCAUCGUGGUGAUGUUCUGCUGGUUGAGGAAGAAGAUCUCGUUGAGGAGUAAUGCCAGAUUCUCGUUGUCCGGGUCACCGUUGGUCUCCUGAGGCCCCGCCCCUUUUACCUGCGACUGACGGUCGGUGCUAACAGACGGCGAGGAUGAAGGUCUGAGGUCGGACUGGUCGCUGCUACGGUCCGAUCCAACAGAGACUGACUGAGGGUCCAACGGCCGGUUCUGUUGUGUUUGUUGUUUGUCCGUCGGUUGUUGUUUGUCUGUCUGCUGUUGUUGUUGUUUGUCUAACUGUUGUUGUUGUUCUUUCUGUUCUUGUUGUGUUGUUGCAGGGUGAACCGCAUGGAGCAUGCUGAAG